RNAcentral lists this ribosomal RNA (408 nucleotides) under uncultured prokaryote. RNAcentral's name for it is "bacterial SSU rRNA". It matches the Rfam family "Bacterial small subunit ribosomal RNA", at positions 355 to 774 of the family's 1533-position model. The record is from RNAcentral.
UUGGGAAUAUUGCACAAUAGACACACGUCUGAUGCAGCAAUCCCGCGUGAGUGAUGAAGGUCUUCGGAUCGUAAAGCUCUUUUAGCAGGGACGAAGGGUAACUUGACGGUACCUGCAGAAAAAGCACCGGCUAACUACGUGCCAGCAGCCGCGGUAAUACGUAGGGUGCAAGCGUUGUUCGGAAUCAUUGGGCGUAAAGCGCGUGUAGGCGGUUGGCUAAGUCCGGUGUGAAAUCCCGGGGCUUAACUCCGGAAGUGCAUUGGAUACUGGCCAGCUAGAGGACGGGAGAGGAAAGCGGAAUUCCUGGUGUAGGGGUGAAAUCCGUAGAUAUCAGGAGGAAUGCCGGGGGUGAAGGCGGCUUUCUGGUCCGUUUCUGACGCUGAGACGCGAAAGCGUGGGUAGCAAACA